This 1341-nucleotide long non-coding RNA is filed under the name Mus musculus (house mouse). RNAcentral's name for it is "long non-coding RNA chr7:54883118-54884459". The record is from RNAcentral. Lineage: Eukaryota; Metazoa; Chordata; Mammalia; Rodentia; Muridae.
UUAAAGAACUUGAAAUAUUUUUCUGAGGGGAAAGUCUUUGUUCAGGUUCAACAAGGGAAUGUUUGCCCUGGGCAUGUUUCUCUGCAGUUUACGAGAGUGGAGUUUUGGUGUCUCUUUGUACAUGCAGUAGUAAUGUGGUGAGUCUGAGUUUCAACUCCAAUAUAAAAUCUAAGAUGCCAAGAAAAAAUAUUCAAAUGGAUAAUUUAAAAAUUGCAAGUUAAAAAUUAAAUCUCAUAGGUAAAUACAAGCUUAUUUGCUAAUAUGCUGAAUUAUCCUUUAGUUUUCUAAGGACAUAUAUAGAAUAUGGUUUAAACAUGUUCUGUGGAGAACAAUGCCAAAUCAAACUUAUAUAACUUUCCCUUUUAAUAUAAAGAAUCAAAUUUAGAAAUACUCUUAUAAAAUUAAAAUACUUUCUAAUUUAUAUAUAAUAUAAAUAUAUAUGAUGUGUUUUUCUAACAUGCUAAAUCUUUGGCUUUAAAUUUACUAUUUAUGUCAAAAUUUUGAGAAAAUUGUGUUUUCUCUCACAUGUAAUAUAAGUGAUUAAAUAUAGUGUAUCCUCUAGUUAUUUUGUGACUACUGAGAGUUUCAGACAAUAGUAUUCCCAUUCUCAGUGAAUAAUUGCUAAUGAAUGGCUACAUGAAAAUAUUUAGAAAUCUGUUUGUAUUGCAUAAGCCAUUAGAUUUUGCCCCAGGUAUAUUAAGGGUUUUCAGAAUAUGAGCCAAUAAUAUGUACAAUAGUUUACAGAGAGAAAUGACACAGUUUGCAAUCAUCACUGAGUUUUGUACUUAUUUGGUAUGGUAUAUUAGUGAUUUAGAAAACUGUUGAGAAACACCUUAUAAAUGUAAAUUCUCAGAGAAAAAUCUUUAAUAUAAAUAUAAUUUAUAUAAUAUAUAAAUAUAUAGUAUGUAAUAUUAUAUAUUAAAUAUGAAUAUAUAAUAUUAUAUACUAUAUAAUAUUAUAUAAAUAUAUAACAUUUAUUUACAUAAUAUAAAUUAAUAAUAUACAUAAUUAUAUAAUAUAAAUGUAGGAAGAUAUUCAUACAACCUGAUAUCCUAGGAAAUUCUAGUUUAUUGUGUGACAUGAGCCACUGUUUCUAGAGGAAGCUCAAUGACAGUCACACUUAGUAGUUAAAUUGUUAUUACUGUGAUAUGUGGAUCUGGGCAACACUUAUGUUCCCAUUCACAAGGGCUGGGGAAUCCUUCUGCAUGUAUAUAAGGUGUAUGGGUAGAUAUUCUGAUCUUGAAGUGAAGAUUAAUCUACAAAAGUUAUGCUAGGUAGAAGAAAGCCAACCUAUUGAUAAAAGAACAUUGCUACUGCCUUUAUUGGAGAAUGUACUGAAAU